This 441-nucleotide long non-coding RNA is filed under the name Neodiprion pinetum (white pine sawfly). Its description in RNAcentral is "uncharacterized LOC124221087". The record is from RNAcentral. Lineage: Eukaryota; Metazoa; Arthropoda; Insecta; Hymenoptera; Diprionidae.
GGGGGUGGUCCAGGGGGAUGGAACAACGGAGGAGGAGGAAACCCAAGUGGCGGUGGCGGGAUGCCGCCCAACGCGACCAGCACAACACCUGCAGUCACAACGCCCGGGGUAACAACAACGACGACAACCACGACUGCAUCCUCGCAAAAUGGGGGUGGAAUGGGCAUGGGCAUGGGAAUGGGGCCGGGCGGUGGCGGUGGCGGUGGCGGUUGGGGUCCUCCACCUCCUCGUCGCAGACUUUGGAGACGCUGAUAGACGGACAGCGGUACCUGGAGUUUUACUCCCGCUCUGCUUCGACCUGUGCUCAAUGGUUGUAUUGCAUAUGACGGACAAGGCUGACGGAUUUACAGUUGGAAUUUAUAAUACAUGUAGCUUUGUGUAGAUAAACUGUCGGUUAAACGAUUGAUUGGAAAAGAGUUAAAUAAAAACACGUUUAUCGAA